RNAcentral lists this ribosomal RNA (497 nucleotides) under uncultured bacterium. RNAcentral's name for it is "partial 16S ribosomal RNA". It matches the Rfam family "Bacterial small subunit ribosomal RNA", at positions 28 to 507 of the family's 1533-position model. The record is from RNAcentral.
GACGAACGCUGGCGGCGUGCCUAAUACAUGCAAGUCGAGCGAACAGAUGAGGAGCUUGCGGCUCUGUCGUUAGCGGAGGAGGGGUGAAUAACACGUGGAUAACCUCCCUAUAAGACUGGGAUAACUUCGGGAAACGGGCGCUAAUCCCGGAUGAUCUAUUGAACCGCAGGGGUGAAUAGUGAAAGACGGUUUUGCUGUCACUUCUAGCUGGUUCCGCGCCGGAUUGGCUAGUUGGUAAGGUCAUGGCCUACGAAGGGAACGAUGCGUAGCCGAGGUGAUAGGGGGAUCGGCCACCCUGGAAGUGGACCGCGCUCCAGGGUCCUACGGGAGGCAGCAGAAGGGAAUCUUCGGCAGUGGGCGGAAGCCUGACGGAGCAGCGCCACGUGAGAUAUGAAAGUCCUCGGAGCGUAAUACCGUGUUACUAGUGAAAAACAAAUGUGUCAUGAACUGUGCACGUAUUGACGGUAACGAAUCAGAAAGCCACGGCUAACUACGUG